Molecule: long non-coding RNA, 2569 nt
Filed under: Xyrichtys novacula (pearly razorfish)
Lineage: Eukaryota; Metazoa; Chordata; Actinopteri; Labriformes; Labridae
Source: RNAcentral
GCUCCAGUUAGGAAAUGUGUGGUGAACUUCCAUUAACAAUAAUUGAGCCCCUCUCCAGUGAGAUGCUGACAGGGAGGGGUGUGUUGUUAUUAAAAUGCCUUCUCCUCUAAUGUGCAGGUAAGGACCCCUUCACGGUCGCUUCUCACCAGGCCCGCUGCCAGGACCGUCUCUCGCUUUUAAGUGAGCACCUUCAUUGAGACAGAUUUAGCUCAAUUAAACCGUUUUACCUCUGCCAGGAGUGUUUCAGAGCAUCGCUGCUGCUGAGCGGCCUUUUCAAUUAGCAGCAGUGAGCAGAUUCAGCAGCGAUCCUAUUACUGUACGGCUUUGAGACUGACUGUGAAAACCGUAAACAUCACUUCUAAUGUCCUUAAUGGAGAUCGAGGAGGCUGUUAACACUUUAGAGCACGAGUAAACAAACAGACGGACCGCUGAUUAAAUAUGUGCAUAAAUACAGUAAAGAAUGGGAUUCAGGUUUGAUCAUGGUGAUGCUGCUGUUUGUAAGAUGACUCCUGAUCUGUGUUGAUUUCACAGCAAUGGUUCAUUAUUUCCUAACAACUCACUGUUGCUAUGGAUGCACCUGUAAUUACAGUCUAUGCUUGGCUCACUGUAAUUGUCCUGUCGUCCAGGCUGUAAACAUGCAUAUCUGCUGUAAAAUUGGAUGUUUGAACUUUUCGAAAAACCUCUAAAAAUAAAAAGGUAACAUGUGAUUGGACUCUAAAUUAAAUCUUCAUAAUAAAUAUUCAGUAAACUGUCUGCUGCACAUAUUUAAUGCCACACUCUUUUAAAAGCAUUUAUCAGGUGAAACAGAUAAUAUGUGGAUGAUGUUGUGUAUCUUUAAUCUUCUCUCAGAGUAAUGCUACAGCUAACUUACUAGCUGCUGCUGCUUCUUCUUCUCCUCUUCUGUGUAUGACCCAGCAUAAAGGACCACUUAAUCAAGUUUUAGAAAAUGGUUAAUAUUAAGUUCUUUCAAAAGUUUAUUUGUUUAUUGUGUGCACAUAAUUUAUUUGACAAGGACAAUAAAAAUUACUCUUUGCAACUUCUUCCAUUACAAAGAAGCUGUAGUUGCUGAUGUUUUCCAUGAAGAGAUUAUAGCUGCUGCUAGUUUCCAAAUCCUGUUAAACUUUUUCUUUUGAUUAAUUUAAAGAAAGAAGAGGAUAACGUGCGUUUUAACAUUUCUUUUACCUGUAUUUCCUCACACUGUUUCACCUCAUGAAAAUGUGCAUCAAACUUCUGGUGCUGAAUUUUCAAGGAUUUAAGAACCACUUUGAGUUUAUUACACUUUUUUUUCUAAAAUGGUUGAAAUUAGACAAAUGAUUCUGCUGUGGUUUGUGGCAGUGAUGCUCCUCCAGGUGUUUUUUUUUUUUUUAGAUCUGUGUAUUUAAAGAUGGUUUUAUAGCGAUUCAACAAUUAAAAUUAAAGAUGUUUGAGGCUCUUGGCUCCAAACUGUAACAUGAGGACAUGUGUAAAAAAGUCAUUUCAUGCAUUUGCAGCUGUGCUCUUUAGAUUGGUAUAAGGCACCUAAUCAAAUUAAAGUAAUUCAGAUGAAUUUUUACUGUUUUAGUCGGCUUAUUGAUGUGUUUUCUCAGUCAUCUGUGGCAAGUUGAAGAGUCCUUACCUGGUCCUUUGUGUAUGCAUCUGUGUGCAUGAGCAUGUGAGUGCUGUAUGUGUUGAAUGGGAGUUGGGUGGGUGGGUGGAGUUCAGUAUUUGUAUUUUUAUUUAUUUUAUUUCAUUGUUUUUCAUAUCCUGUUUGAAUGGACAGCACUUUGUGCUACAUUAUAUGUAUGAAAAGUGCUUUAAAAAUAAAGUUUGAUUGAUUGAUGGUUUGAUUAGUAAAAUUUGAGUUUGAAUACACCUAAAAAGUUUAAAUUCAUUUACCUUCUGAAUUUCUGGAAAAAGGCUAAAAAUUAGUGGGCCAGACAUUGAGCCAUGGGGGAUACCGUCAUUUAUAUCAGUAUAUUAAGACUACUUGUCUUGUUUGUUUGACCCACCCAUCGCUGUCAACCCACAUCCAAUGUAAAAUUAACAUCUCUGACUACUGCUUCAAACAGCUUCUACCCCAGGAAGUUCCUCUCUGUCUCUGGAUUUGGAGGAUUUUUUUGUUGUGCACUCACUUUUUUGCACGUUACACAUCAGCACUGCAGAGUUUGGAGUCUUUAGCUUGUUGCCUUUUUAUUUUGUGUGUUUCUGGGAAGUAAUGUCAGCUAUGUUAGUGUCAUAUCCAGUGCAUUUACCACCACAAACAGCCCGUUUCCCAUUACAGAUAGUGCAAUGUUAGUAUUGGUGAUGAAUAGGAUUAGAUUUUGUUUUGCAGAAGUUUCUCACAAUACUGGUUCCUAACUGAUCAGACAGUCCAGGAUUCAAAAACAAACUGAGAGACAAAAAAAACGUUAAAUUGUUUGUUAACUUUGUUUAAAAAGGGGACAGAUGAGCCCCAUGAGGUGCCUCUCUGUGUGUUUAACUGGAGGAAUAAAAAACUGAAACCCUGUUGAUGUUUCUUUCUGCAGCACAAUGAGAAGCAACAGACUCAAAGACGCUCAGAUGUGAAGACAUUCAGCGAGCCGCCGAGGAC